RNAcentral lists this ribosomal RNA (306 nucleotides) under Triticum aestivum (bread wheat). Its description in RNAcentral is "partial small subunit ribosomal RNA". Lineage: Eukaryota; Viridiplantae; Streptophyta; Magnoliopsida; Poales; Poaceae. The record is from RNAcentral.
AUGCCAAAUCAAGAACACGAGAGAGAGAGAGAUCAAACACAUAGCUACUGGUACAUACCCUCAGCCUCGAGGGUGAACUACUCCCUCCUCGUCAUGGAGGGCGCAGGGGUGAUGAAGAUGGCCAUCUGUGAGGGAUUCCCCCUCCGGCAGGGUGCCAGAACAGGGUCCCGAUUGGUUUUUGGUGGCUACAGAGGCUUGCGGCGGCGGAACUCCCGAUCCAGGUUAUUUUCUGGAGGUUUCUGUAUUUAUAGGAAUUUUUGGCACAGGUCUCACGUCACAGGGGUCUCCGAGUCGUCCACGAGAUAG